CCUAUGGAGUGUACAAAAACUUGUGAGUAGUAUCUGGAUUUAUUCAGUACAAAAACAUACACGAUGAAGUAGGAA
Small RNA from Anaerostipes sp. 992a, 75 nucleotides. It matches the Rfam family "RAGATH-18 RNA". From Rfam's summary of the family: Actinobacteria, Firmicutes, Fusobacteria, Thermotogae (1 example). The record is from Rfam. Lineage: Bacteria; Bacillati; Bacillota; Clostridia; Lachnospirales; Lachnospiraceae.